Molecule: ribosomal RNA, 253 nt
Filed under: uncultured bacterium
Lineage: Bacteria
Description: partial 16S ribosomal RNA
Rfam family: Bacterial small subunit ribosomal RNA
Source: RNAcentral
UACGGAGGGUGCAAGCGUUGUUCGGAAUCACUGGGCGUAAAGCGCGUGUAGGCGGCCUUCUUAGUCUGGUGUGAAAGCCCGGGGCUCACCCCCGGAAGUGCAUUGGAUACUGGAAGGCUGGAGUACCGGAGAGGAGGGUGGAAUUCCUGGUGUAGCGGUGAAAUGCGUAGAUAUCAGGAAGAACACCCGUGGCGAAGGCGGCUCUCUGGGACGGUACUGACGCUGAGACGCGAAAGCGUGGGGAGCGAACAGG